Molecule: ribosomal RNA, 417 nt
Filed under: Triticum aestivum (bread wheat)
Lineage: Eukaryota; Viridiplantae; Streptophyta; Magnoliopsida; Poales; Poaceae
Description: partial small subunit ribosomal RNA
Source: RNAcentral
AUGAUUAAAAUUGAUUUGGCUAAGGCUUUUGAUAGAGUUGAAUGGAACUUCUUUAUGCAAGCACUCUCACUUAAAGGGUUGCAUGAUCAUUUCAUAAAUUUGGUACAUGUCUGCAUUGCAGCUCCUACAUUUUUUGUUAUCAUUAAUGGACAAUCAUAUGGUUGUUUUCAAAGCAAUAGUGGUAUCCUACAAGGUUGUCCUUUACCAUAUUUUAUUGUUCUUGCCACUAAUGAACUUUCAAUAUCCUUGCAAGAAGCCAUAUGUUUUGACCAUCUCAGGAUAACUUUGGGGCCAAGAUGUCCACCUAUUCAUUCCCUCAUGUUUGUUGAUGACCUAUUGAUUUUUGGAAAGGCCACUAAAGCGGAGGCUACCCACUUGCAUAGAAUUUUCCAAAUCUUCUGCAGCCUUUUAGGUUAG